This 253-nucleotide ribosomal RNA is filed under the name uncultured bacterium. RNAcentral describes it as "partial 16S ribosomal RNA". It matches the Rfam family "Bacterial small subunit ribosomal RNA", at positions 524 to 776 of the family's 1533-position model. The record is from RNAcentral.
UACGUAAAAAACAAGCGUUGUCCGGAAUCAUUGGGCGUAAAGAGCGUGUAGGCGGUCCGAUAAGUCGGCUGGGAAAGUCAAGGGCUCAACCCUUGAAUGCCGGCCGAUACUGUCGGGCUAGAGUCCGGAAGAAGCGAGUGGAAUUCCUGGUGUAACGGUGAAAUGCGCAAAUAUCAGAAAAAACACCAAUGGCGAAAGCAGCUCGCUGGGACGGUACUGACGCUGAAACGCGAAAGCAUAAAAAGCAAACAGG